This is a long non-coding RNA of Zophobas morio, 1948 nucleotides long. RefSeq lists it as uncharacterized. The transcript is spliced from 4 exons. The record is from RefSeq and is a predicted model, not a curated record. Lineage: Eukaryota; Metazoa; Arthropoda; Insecta; Coleoptera; Tenebrionidae.
UUCAAAGCAGUAAGAACUUUUUUAAAAUUGUCGGCCCGCUCAUUUGGACUAAGGACCGCACCCGUACCGCACUGAGCAUCGUGGCAUCCUGCAAUAUAAAUAAUGCUUAUUAAUAUUUCCCGUAAGUUGCUGAAAGUCCUGUAAGUACCUCUGUUAACAAUUCCUGAAACGCCGUCUAUGAACCUUCGAUCAUAAAUAUUCAUCCCAUUGUCUACCCAUUUCUUGACUUCAUUUUUGUAAUUCCAUCCAUCUGGUUGAGAGAAAUCCAGCAUUUGAAGUUUAUUUAUUUAAAAAGAAAAUAGAGAAAACUUUUUUCGUAGUUUUCCACUGAAGUAAUGUAAUAAAAUAAGCCUGCGAUCCACUUCAGUUCUGGGUCCGAGGUUGGAUCACAAAUAACACCGGGGUUCUCGCAAAAGUCGUAAUCAGGAUACUAAUGCAAUGCUUACUCAAUAAACUUUCAAAGUAUUAUUAUUCAUUAAUCAAAACCAGAGAGUUGCAGACACCAGUAGUUUGAAUUACGCCUUUUGAUAAUAUGAUCAAGCUCUAUUAAGAACUAACAAUAAGAAAUUUGGGUACCGCGUCCCCACCAGCAGCAACCCUCCACGUCCUCGCGCGGACCUUUAUUAUAUAAAGGCGCGGCAGUUCCCGGGCACACGCCGUUCGAGCAACCUGCCGAGCAUUAAACUUUAACUCUCUGCUUUAACAUACUAAAGGAGGAAGACGUCACCAUCUCCUUCAUAUAACCAGCCUCCUGCCUGAAUUCCUUGGUAAUCUCUGCAGGAUCCACCGUUUUUUACGUACUCAAAGUAGGCUGCACUGCUAUCUGAGUUGUCAAACGGCACCACGUGAGCAGAAGCAGUAAUCAGUACCCGCAGGAGCACACCAUGGGCCAUUGUUGUCCCAUCUCGGCACUUUAGGCAGUAGUGACUUUGGCGCGCAAAAUAAACCAGGGGGGGCUCCAUACCAUUCAGCCUGCGUUGAAGCCCUUAAUACCAUGUUUGGAGAAAGAAACCAGCAGGUCGCCCCACCAGUGCUCAUUGCUAAUUGGUUUUCAGCAUCUGUGCACUUGUAAUCUUGGUAAGAUUGCUGCAUCUGUCCACAUGCUGCUGCUGCGGAAUAUAAUGUUCCUCCUUGACAUCAUGAACAGCCAAGCAAACCAAGUUAAGAGGUAAAGGUAUAAUUUUAGGAAGUUGGUUACCAGAGGACUCCACUGUGGACUUAUCACUCCAAUUGUUUUCAUCACAAGCGUUUACUCGAAUAGUUUCAUGCAUCGCUUGGGCCAAGAACGCUGCAAGACUUACUAGCCCGUAAAUAUGAUUCGUGUCACCUAAUCAAAUAUGGUUAAAGGGUUCAACUAGUAUAUAUUUUACAAACUUCACCAUUCCAUAACUGCAAGUCUCCAACUCCGAUUGUUAACAUGGUUUUAACUGCACCUUUCAUGUCAUCCCACCGGUAAUAUUGUGAAGGCUCCCAUGUCAGAUCUGGUUUUUGAUACCUAUGAAAUGUUAAAACCCAUAGUACACUUGAACGCACUUCGUUAACUCAUACAUAAAAUCAAUCUAACUCAAAAAAGUCUUUGCCCUCGAUGUUAUCUAGUGCUUGAAGUAAUUUCCUUGAAAUAUCGUUUUCAGGAAGAGGAGUAUUAGGAGGUGUUGAAGUGGAAGAAGUUGUGUAAGUUGUAGACGGAGAAGAGUCAGUUGUACACGGGCCUGCUGGAAAGCUGAUGGUGGUGGUUGAAGUUACAGUGACCGUAGUAGCCGAUGCCGAAGGACAUGAGUUAGCGCCACACCAUGUAUAGUCCUCUUUAUUAAAAUCUUCGCAAUAUGCUUGGUCUAUAAUAAGACAGUCGCCGUUGUGCAAAUUAAAGCAACCUCAACAUAAAUGAGACCGGAUAAUAGUAGAGGCUAUGAACAUUCUAUUAAAGUCAUACCUCCAUUACAGCCUUCAC